RNAcentral lists this ribosomal RNA (465 nucleotides) under Vreelandella stevensii. RNAcentral's name for it is "partial 16S ribosomal RNA". It matches the Rfam family "Bacterial small subunit ribosomal RNA", at positions 338 to 795 of the family's 1533-position model. Lineage: Bacteria; Pseudomonadati; Pseudomonadota; Gammaproteobacteria; Oceanospirillales; Halomonadaceae. The record is from RNAcentral.
CCUACGGGAGGCUGCAGUGGGGAAUAUUGGACAAUGGGCGAAAGCCUGAUCCAGCCAUGCCGCGUGUGUGAAGAAGGCCUUCGGGUUGUAAAGCACUUUCAGUGGGGAAGAAAGCCUUGGGGCUAAUACCCUCGAGGAAGGACAUCACCCACAGAAGAAGCACCGGCUAACUCCGUGCCAGCAGCCGCGGUAAUACGGAGGGUGCGAGCGUUAAUCGGAAUUACUGGGCGUAAAGCGCGCGUAGGCGGUCUGAUAAGCCGGUUGUGAAAGCCCCGGGCUCAACCGGGGAACGGCAUCCGGAACUGUCAGGCUUGAGUGGAGGAGAGGACGGUAGAACUCCCGGUGUAGCGGUGAAAUGCGUAGAGAUCGGGAGGAAUACCAGUGGCGAAGGCGGCCUUCUGGACUGUCACUGACGCUGAGGUGCGAAAGCGUGGGUAGCAAACAGGAUUAGAUACCCGGGUAGUC